GCAGCGGGCACUAUGAGCGGGGGCGUCUACGGCGGAGAUGAGGUGGGGGCGCUGGUCUUUGACAUUGGCUCCUUCUCAGUCCGCGCUGGGUACGCUGGGGAGGACUGUCCCAAGGUGAGCCUUCCAGUCUCCUCUCCAAAUCCUAGGGGCUUCGGACCCUUCUUCAGGCUUUCCAGUGACCCAGGGCUCUCCCAGAUCGCCCAGAAGCUCUGCUGAGCGGGAAUAUGGGAAUAAACCCAGGGGCGGUCUGAGGACCCUGCUGUGGGGCUGGACAGGGGCAAGAGGGUGACCUCUCUCCCUGCCGAUACUCCCCCAACCCUUCCCCACCAGGCUGACUUCCCCACCACGGUGGGGCUGCUGGCCGCGGAGGAGGGGGGCGGGCUGGAGCUGGAGGGGGACAAAGAGAAGAAAGGGAAGAUCUUCCACAUCGACACCAAUGCCCUGCACGUGCCUCGGGAUGGAGCGGAGGUCAUGUCGCCCCUCAAGAAUGGCAUGAUCGAGGACUGGGAGUGCUUCCGAGCCAUCCUGGAUCACACCUACAGCAAACACGUCAAGUCUGAGCCAAACCUGCACCCAGUGCUCAUGUCCGAGGCUCCGUGGAACACACGGGCCAAGCGGGAGAAGCUGACAGAGCUGAUGUUCGAGCAGUACAACAUUCCUGCCUUCUUCUUAUGCAAGACGGCUGUGCUCACCGCCUUUGCAAACGGGCGGUCCACUGGCCUCGUGCUGGACAGUGGAGCCACCCACACCACGGCCAUUCCAGUACAUGACGGCUACGUCCUGCAGCAAG
This 790-nucleotide small RNA is filed under the name Pan troglodytes (chimpanzee). RNAcentral's name for it is "retained intron". The record is from RNAcentral. Lineage: Eukaryota; Metazoa; Chordata; Mammalia; Primates; Hominidae.